Molecule: unclassified non-coding RNA, 338 nt
Filed under: soil metagenome
Description: partial contains 5.8S ribosomal RNA, internal transcribed spacer 2, and large subunit ribosomal RNA
Rfam family: 5.8S ribosomal RNA (bases 1-120)
Source: RNAcentral
GAUGAAGAACGUAGCGAAAUGCGAUAAGUAGUGUGAAUUGCAGAAUUCAGUGAAUCAUCGAAUCUUUGAACGCACAUUGCGCCCUCUGGUAUUCCGGAGGGCAUGCCUGUUCGAGCGUCAUUUCGACCCUCAAGCAUUGCUUGGUGUUGGGGCACCGCCUGUAAAAGGGCGGGCCCUGAAAUCUAGUGGCGAGCUCGCCAGGACCCCGAGCGUAGUAAUUAUAUUUCGUUCUGGAAGGCCCUGGCGGUGCCCUGCCGUUAAACCCCCAACUUCUGAAAAUUUGACCUCGGAUCAGGUAGGAAUACCCGCUGAACUUAAGCAUAUCAAUAAGCGGAGGA